UACGUAGGGUGCAAGCGUUAAUCGGAAUUACUGGGCGUAAAGCGUGCGCAGGCGGUUUUGUAAGACAGAGGUGAAAUCCCCGGGCUCAACCUGGGAACUGCCUUUGUGACUGCAAGGCUAGAGUACGGCAGAGGGGGGUGGAAUUCCGCGUGUAGCAGUGAAAUGCGUAGAUAUGCGGAGGAACACCGAUGGCGAAGGCAACCCCCUGGGCCUGUACUGACGCUCAUGCACGAAAGCGUGGGGAGCAAACAGGAUUAGAUACCCUGGUAGUCCACGCCCUAAACGAUGUCAACUGGUUGUCGGGUCUUAACUGACUCAGUAACGAAGCUAACGCGUGAAGUUGACCGCCUGGGGAGUACGGCCGCAAGGUUGAA
Molecule: ribosomal RNA, 374 nt
Filed under: uncultured bacterium
Lineage: Bacteria
Description: bacterial SSU rRNA
Rfam family: Bacterial small subunit ribosomal RNA
Source: RNAcentral